RNAcentral lists this ribosomal RNA (305 nucleotides) under uncultured bacterium. Its description in RNAcentral is "bacterial SSU rRNA". It matches the Rfam family "Bacterial small subunit ribosomal RNA", at positions 333 to 631 of the family's 1533-position model. The record is from RNAcentral.
AAGUUCCUACGGGAGGCAGCAGUAGGGAAUUUUCGUCAAUGGGCGCAAGCCUGAACGAGCAAUGCCGCGUGAACGAGGAAGGUCUUCGGAUCGUAAAGUUCUGUUGAAGGGGAAAAAGAGCGGAGAGAGGAAAUGGUCUCCGAUUGAUAUUACCCUUCGAGGAAGUCACGGCUAACUACGUGCCAGCAGCCGCGGUAAUACGUAGGUGGCGAGCGUUAUCCGGAAUGAUUGGGUUUAAAGGGUGCGUAGGCGGACAGUCAAGUCAGCGGUAAAAAUGCGGUGCUCAACGCCGUACAGCCGUUGAA